Molecule: ribosomal RNA, 351 nt
Filed under: uncultured bacterium
Lineage: Bacteria
Description: partial 16S ribosomal RNA
Rfam family: Bacterial small subunit ribosomal RNA
Source: RNAcentral
CCUACGGGAGGCAGCAGUAGGGAAUGUUCGUCAAUGGGCGCAAGCCUGAACGAGCAAUGCCGCGUGAAAGAGGAAGGUCUUCGGAUCGUAAAGGUCUGUUGAAGGGGAAAAAGAGCGGAGAGAGGAAAUGCUUUCUGAUUGAUAUUACCCUUCGAGGAAGGCACGGCUAACUACGUGCCAGCAGCCGCGGUAAGACGUAGGGGGCGAGCGUUAUCCGGAAUGAUUGGGCGAAAGGGGUGCGUAGGCGGCCUGCUAAGUCUGGGGUGAAAGGUACCGGCUCAACGGGUACCGGCUCUGGAACCUGGCGGGCUAGAGUGCAGGAGAGGGCGGUGGAACUCCAUGUGUAGCGGU